RNAcentral lists this ribosomal RNA (255 nucleotides) under uncultured bacterium. RNAcentral's name for it is "partial 16S ribosomal RNA". It matches the Rfam family "Bacterial small subunit ribosomal RNA", at positions 524 to 776 of the family's 1533-position model. The record is from RNAcentral.
UACGAAGGGGGCUAGCGUUGUUCGGAUUUACUGGGCGUAAAGCGCACGUAGGCGGAUCGUUAAGUCGGGGGUGAAAUCCUGGAGCUCAACUCCAGAACUGCCUUCGAUACUGGCGAUCUUGAGUCCGGAAGAGGUGAGUGGAACUCCUAGUGUAGAGGUGGAAUUCGUAGAUAUUAGGAAGAACACCAGUGGCGAAGGCGGCUCACUGGGUCCGGUACUGACGCUGAGGUGCGAAAGCGUGGGGGAGCAAACAGG